UACAGAGGUCCCAAGCGUUGUUCGGAUUCACUGGGCGUAAAGGGUGCGUAGGUGGUUGGAUAAGUCUGAUGUGAAAUCUCCGAGCUCAACUCGGAAAAUGCAUUGGAUACUAUUCAGCUAGAGGAUUGGAGGGGGGACUGGAAUUCUCGGUGUAGCAGUGAAAUGCGUAGAUAUCGAGAGGAACACCAGUGGCGAAGGCGAGUCCCUGGACAACUCCUGACACUGAGGCACGAAAGCUAGGGGAGCAAACAGG
RNAcentral lists this unclassified non-coding RNA (253 nucleotides) under uncultured Verrucomicrobiota bacterium. RNAcentral describes it as "uncultured Verrucomicrobia bacterium contains 16S-23S intergenic spacer region". It matches the Rfam family "Bacterial small subunit ribosomal RNA", at positions 524 to 776 of the family's 1533-position model. Lineage: Bacteria; Pseudomonadati; Verrucomicrobiota. The record is from RNAcentral.